AACUUUCGGCAACGGAUCUCUUGGUUCUGGCAUCGAUGAAGAAAGCAGCGAAAUGCGAUAAGUAAUGUGAAUUGCAGAAUUCAGUGAAUCAUCGAAUCUUUGAACGCACAUUGCGCCCGCCAGUAUUCUGGCGGGCAUGCCUGUUCGAGCGUCAUUUCAACCCUCAAGACCCCUUCGGGGGACUUGGUGUUGGGGACCGGCUGUUCCCGGCCUGCUUCUUGCAGCGCCUUUAUGCCGCCCCCGAAAUGAAUUGGCGGCCUCGUCGCGGCCUCCCCUGCGUAGUAGCACAACCUCGCAACGGGAACGUGACGGCGGCCACUGCCGUAAAACAACCCCAAUUUUAUUAGAGUUGACCUCGAAUCAGGUAGGAAUACCCGCUGAACUUAAGCAUAUCAAUAAGCGGAGGCU
RNAcentral lists this unclassified non-coding RNA (408 nucleotides) under uncultured fungus. RNAcentral describes it as "sequence contains ITS2". The stretch from base 1 to 154 matches the Rfam family "5.8S ribosomal RNA". Lineage: Eukaryota; Fungi. The record is from RNAcentral.